GAAAUGCGAUAAGUAAUGUGAAUUGCAGAAUUCAGUGAAUCAUCGAAUCUUUGAACGCACAUUGCGCCCGCCAGUAUUCUGGCGGGCAUGCCGGUCCGAGCGUCAUUUCAACCAUCAAGCCCCCGGGCUUGUGUUGGGGACCUGCGGCUGCCCGCAGGCCCUGAAAACCAGUGGCGGGCUCGCUGUCACACCGAGCGUAGUAGCAAUCACCUCGCUCAGGGCGUGCUGCGGGUUCCGGCCGUUAAACAGCCUUACAAAACCCAAGGUUGACCUCGGAUCAGGUAGGAAGACCCGCUGAACUUAAGC
This 306-nucleotide unclassified non-coding RNA is filed under the name plant metagenome. Its description in RNAcentral is "partial contains 5.8S ribosomal RNA, internal transcribed spacer 2, and large subunit ribosomal RNA". The stretch from base 1 to 105 matches the Rfam family "5.8S ribosomal RNA", at positions 50 to 154 of the family's 154-position model. The record is from RNAcentral.